UUUUAAUCUAUAUUUUAAUAGUUUCUUGUUUCAAUCCAAAAUUUGUUUCAUGAUCCACUUGGGAUGAGUGAAAUGAGGAAGUAAAAUUGCAUGCAUUUGCUUAGUUGUCUUCUUUAUUCUGCAUAACCCUUUGUGGAAUCUGUUUAACCUUCUACAUUACUCUAAGAUAUAGUUGUUGUUGGAAAUGCUUUGUAGCUUUAAUCAAUAGUCAGAAUCUUCUGAAGCAAAUAAAUCUAAUCAUAAAAGCAUCCAAUUGAGAGAAGUGAAAAAGAGCCUCAAGUGCCACAAUGGAUUUUGGCAUAUAUUGGCUAUGUCAU
This is a long non-coding RNA of Ricinus communis (castor bean), 317 nucleotides long. RefSeq lists it as uncharacterized. The transcript is spliced from 3 exons. The record is from RefSeq and is a predicted model, not a curated record. NCBI's taxonomy places the organism in Eukaryota, Viridiplantae, Streptophyta, Magnoliopsida, Malpighiales, Euphorbiaceae.